CCUGUGGAGUCGCACUGGGGGCAAAAGGCUUCUUUGCUCAAGUGCCCUUGAGGUCCGGCGGUUUCCCGUGACCGCAGUCGCUCAGACUGACGCUGAGACUAACAUUUGCUAUGCGAGUUUUUGCAUCGUGGCCAUGGCUGGGCCAAAAAGCCCUUUCGGAUCGACGGGCAUUCUUUUCCUUUUGAGGCAGACAAAUUCAGCCAUCAGGCUCUCUCCUGAGCGACCAUCAGGGCCAUGGCUCUUCCAGAGGUCUGGACAGCACACCUGUGGAGACGCAGACAGAGGUUUGAGGUCAGUGUGGUCGACAUCUCCUCCUGUAAUUCUGCCUGGUAGGCAAGGAGUAG
This is a long non-coding RNA of Melanotaenia boesemani (Boeseman's rainbowfish), 344 nucleotides long. RefSeq lists it as uncharacterized. Lineage: Eukaryota; Metazoa; Chordata; Actinopteri; Atheriniformes; Melanotaeniidae. The record is from RefSeq and is a predicted model, not a curated record. The transcript is spliced from 3 exons.